This 497-nucleotide ribosomal RNA is filed under the name uncultured bacterium. RNAcentral's name for it is "partial 16S ribosomal RNA". It matches the Rfam family "Bacterial small subunit ribosomal RNA", at positions 28 to 507 of the family's 1533-position model. The record is from RNAcentral.
GAUGAACGCUGGCGGCGUGCCUAAUACAUGCAAGUCGAGCGAACGGACGAGAAGCUUGCUUCUCUGAUGUUAGCGGCGGACGGGUGAGUAACACGUGGAUAACCUACCUAUAAGACUGGGAUAACUUCGGGAAACCGGAGCUAAUACCGGAUGAUAUUUUGAACCGCAUGGUUCAAAAGUGAAAGACGGUCUUGCUGUCACUUAUAGAUGGAUCCGCGCUGCAUUAGCUAGUUGGUAAGGUAACGGCUUACCAAGGCAACGAUGCAUAGCCGACCUGAGAGGGUGAUCGGCCAAACCGGAACUGAGACACGGUCCAGACUCCUAAGGGAGGCAGCAGUAGGGAAUCUUCCGCAAUGGGCGAAAGCCUGACGGAGCAACGCCGCGUGAGUGAUGAAGGUCUUCGGAUCGUAAAACUCUGUUAUUAGGGAAGAACAUAUGUGUAAGUAACUGUGCACAUCUUGACGGUACCUAAUCAGAAAGCCACGGCUAACUACGUG